CCUAUGUGAUCCUAUAGGACACUACUGCUCCUCACAGGGAGGACUAGGACUUAUAGGUGGUCUAUAGGACACUACUGCUCCUCACAUGGAGGACUAGGACCUAUAGGUGGUCCUAUAGGACACUACUGCUCCUCACAGGGAGGACUAGGACCUAUAGGUGGUCUAUAGGACACUACUGCUCCUCA
Oncorhynchus tshawytscha (Chinook salmon) is the source of this 185-nucleotide long non-coding RNA. RefSeq lists it as uncharacterized. NCBI's taxonomy places the organism in Eukaryota, Metazoa, Chordata, Actinopteri, Salmoniformes, Salmonidae. The record is from RefSeq and is a predicted model, not a curated record. The transcript is spliced from 2 exons.